Molecule: ribosomal RNA, 437 nt
Filed under: uncultured bacterium
Lineage: Bacteria
Description: bacterial SSU rRNA
Rfam family: Bacterial small subunit ribosomal RNA
Source: RNAcentral
UGCAAGGUGCCGCUUCCGGAUGAGUUCGCGUCCUAUCAGCUAGUUGGCGGGUAACGCCACCAAGGCAAUGACGGGUAGCUGGUCUGAGAGGAUGACCAGCCACACUGGAACUGAGACACGGUCCAGACACCUACGGGUGGCAGCAGUCGAGAAUCAUUCACAAUGGGCGAAAGCCUGAUGGUGUGACGCCGCGUGGAGGAUGAAGGUCUUCGGAUUGUAAAACUCCUGUCAAGUGAGAGUAAAGCCGGGCGUUAACUGCGAGCCGGUUUGAGAGUAUCACUAGAGGAAGAGACGGCUAACUCUGUGCCAGCAGCCGCGGUAAUACAGAGGUCUCAAGCGUUGUUCGGAAUCACUGGGCGUAAAGGGUGCGUAGGCUGCACGGUAAGUCAGAGGUGAAAUCCCGGAGCUCAACUUCGGAAAUGCCUCCGAUACUGCCG